UGGAGACCAGAAGUCUAAAAUCAAGGUUAC
This 30-nucleotide non-coding RNA is filed under the name Rattus norvegicus (Norway rat). Lineage: Eukaryota; Metazoa; Chordata; Mammalia; Rodentia; Muridae. The record is from RNAcentral.